RNAcentral lists this ribosomal RNA (253 nucleotides) under uncultured bacterium. RNAcentral's name for it is "partial 16S ribosomal RNA". It matches the Rfam family "Bacterial small subunit ribosomal RNA", at positions 524 to 776 of the family's 1533-position model. The record is from RNAcentral.
UACAGAGGUCCCAAGCGUUGUUCGGAUUCACUGGGCGUAAAGGGUGCGUAGGCGGUCGGGUAAGUCUGGCGUGAAAUCUCCAAGCCUAACUUGGAGACUGCGUUGGAUACUAUCCGGCUCGAGGAAUGGAGGGGAGACUGGAAUACUUGGUGUAGCAGUGAAAUGCGUAGAUAUCAAGUGGAACACCAGUGGCGAAGGCGAGUCUCUGGACAUUUCCUGACGCUGAGGCACGAAAGCCAGGGGAGCAAACGGG